GAUGAACGCUGGCGGCGUGCCUAAUACAUGCAAGUCGAGCGAACAGACGAGGAGCUUGCUCCUUUGAUGUUAGCGGCGGACGGGUGAGUAACACGUAGGUAACCUACCUAUAAGACUGGGAUAACUUCGGGAAACCGGAGCUAAUACCGGAUAAUAUUUCGAACCGCAUGGUUCGAUAGUGAAAGAUGGCUUUGCUAUCACUUAUAGAUGGACCUGCGCCGUAUUAGCUAGUUGGUAAGGUAACGGCUUACCAAGGCAACGAUACGUAGCCGACCUGAGAGGGUGAUCGGCCACACUGGAACUGAGACACGGUCCAGACUCCUACGGGAGGCAGCAGUAGGGAAUCUUCCGCAAUGGGCGAAAGCCUGACGGAGCAACGCCGCGUGAGUGAUGAAGGUCUUCGGAUCGUAAAACUCUGUUAUUAGGGAAGAACAAACGUGUAAGUAACUGUGCACGUCUUGACGGUACCUAAUCAGAAAGCCACGGCUAACUACGUG
This 497-nucleotide ribosomal RNA is filed under the name uncultured bacterium. Its description in RNAcentral is "partial 16S ribosomal RNA". It matches the Rfam family "Bacterial small subunit ribosomal RNA", at positions 28 to 507 of the family's 1533-position model. The record is from RNAcentral.